UCGGGCAAUAGUGUCAGAGCUCUCGCCCAUUAAACCUCAUAUCUUCAUAACCCAAAACCCAAGUGAUUUGUGACCAAGCCCAUGAAGAAAUUAGCCCAUUGAAAGAGAGAGAGUUGAAUGUGUUUUGCGAAGGAAACAGAGAGUCGCAGAGAGAACUUCUGAUUGGCGAUGAUCUCCAUUCACUGCUGCAUCUCUGAUGCUCUUCUAGGGUUAGCCUCUCUGAAACUCUGAAUCUUAUUUCUAAUCCGGUGAUCAAUGAUGGAAAAGAGUGAUUCUAUUGAUCGAAAUUGGUUUGCAUGUAGUCGGUUGUUUCGCUCGUUCCAGAUCCAGUAGAGAGUAGCUUGCUAGCCGAGGAGAGUCAGAGAACGAGUAAAAGCUGGUGGAAGCAGAGUUAUCAUUUGGUGAAGAGUGUUCUCCCAUCUACGUUCCGGCGUGAUUCUGCAUCUGGCAGCGACAACUUGCAUCUUCUAGAAAUACAUGUUUAACUAUUCAUGCAUGUAUGUUGUAUAUAUUUAUACGUUUGUAUACAUGUAUUUUUAGUAUAUAUAUACUAUCCAUACUGGUUUCUCGAGACAGAAUAUGAAAGAGAAUCUGUAUAGAUAGAUUGAUCAACCAUGUCAACCAAACAAAAUAAAUAUAUAGCUAGAUAUUUU
Molecule: long non-coding RNA, 653 nt
Filed under: Brassica napus (rape)
Lineage: Eukaryota; Viridiplantae; Streptophyta; Magnoliopsida; Brassicales; Brassicaceae
Description: long non-coding RNA (BNAP_LNC013101)
Source: RNAcentral